Pieris napi is the source of this 395-nucleotide long non-coding RNA. RefSeq lists it as uncharacterized. The transcript is spliced from 3 exons. NCBI's taxonomy places the organism in Eukaryota, Metazoa, Arthropoda, Insecta, Lepidoptera, Pieridae. The record is from RefSeq and is a predicted model, not a curated record.
CAAAGCCAACACCUGACUGCCCUCACCAGUACGGAUACUUCCCCUCCCCUAGCGCUCACCCAUCUGACUGCGGCCAGUACCGCAUGUGCAUAGCAGGUGUGGCCGUGGAUAUGGUAUGCCCCACUGGGCUUGCUUUCAACUUCGAGACCAGCCGUUGUGACUGGGCCUUCCUUGUGAAGUCUUGUGACGUUGCAACAUUCCUUGGAUACCAAUGCCCUCCGCCCAGUUUUGACGAGAGUGGUAAUCCCGUUGUAACUAACCACAAGUACGAUGGUAACUGCUUUGCUUUCUACUCUUGCCAAGAGGGUCGUGGCCGCCUACUCGCUUGCGACCCAGGUCUGGCCUUCGACCCUAUCACAAGCCACUGCGUGGAUGCUGACAGAGUGCCUUGUGAA